UACGAGGGGGGCGAGCGUUGUUCGGAAUUAUUGGGCGUAAAGGGCGCGUAGGCGGUGCGGUAAGUCACCUGUGAAAUCUCCGGGCUCAACUCGGAGCCUGCAGGCGAAACUGCCGUGCUGGAGUAUGGGAGAGGGUGGUGGAAUUCCCGGUGUAGCGGUGAAAUGCGUAGAUAUCGGGAGGAACAUCAGUGGCGAAGGCGACCGCCUGGCCCAACACUGACGCUGAGGUGCGAAAGCGUGGGUAGCAAACAGG
Molecule: ribosomal RNA, 253 nt
Filed under: uncultured prokaryote
Description: partial 16S ribosomal RNA
Rfam family: Bacterial small subunit ribosomal RNA
Source: RNAcentral